Molecule: ribosomal RNA, 460 nt
Filed under: uncultured bacterium
Lineage: Bacteria
Description: partial 16S ribosomal RNA
Rfam family: Bacterial small subunit ribosomal RNA
Source: RNAcentral
CCUACGGGAGGCAGCAGUGAGGAAUAUUGGUCAAUGGACGAGAGUCUGAACCAGCCAAGUAGCGUGAAGGAUGACUGCCCUAUGGGUUGUAAACUUCUUUUAUAUGGGAAUAAAAUGUUCCACGUGUGGGAUUUUGUAUGUACCAUAUGAAUAAGGAUCGGCUAACUCCGUGCCAGCAGCCGCGGUAAUACGGAGGAUCCGAGCGUUAUCCGGAUUUAUUGGGUUUAAAGGGAGCGUAGGUGGAUUGUUAAGUCAGUUGUGAACGUUUGCGGCUCAACCGGAAAAUUGCAGUUGAAACUGGCAUUCUUGAGUACAGGAGAGGUGGGCGGAAUGCGUGGUGUAGCGGUGAAAUGCUUAGAUAUCACGAAGAACUCCGAUUGCGAAGGCAGUUCACUGGACUUCAACUGACACUGAGGCUCGAAAGUGUGGGUAUCAAACAGGAUUAGAUACCCCGGUAGUC